This 452-nucleotide ribosomal RNA is filed under the name uncultured organism. Its description in RNAcentral is "partial 16S ribosomal RNA". It matches the Rfam family "Bacterial small subunit ribosomal RNA", at positions 334 to 797 of the family's 1533-position model. The record is from RNAcentral.
CACUCCUACGGGAGGCAGCAGUGGGGAAUAUUGCACAAUGGGCGGAAGCCUGAUGCAGCAACGCCGCGUGCGGGAUGACGGCCUUCGGGUUGUAAACCGCUUUCGCCUGUGACGAAGCGUGAGUGACGGUAAUGGGUAAAGAAGCACCGGCUAACUACGUGCCAGCAGCCGCGGUGAUACGUAGGGUGCGAGCGUUGUCCGGAUUUAUUGGGCGUAAAGGGCUCGUAGGUGGUUGAUCGCGUCGGAAGUGUAAUCUUGGGGCUUAACCCUGAGCGUGCUUUCGAUACGGGUUGACUUGAGGAAGGUAGGGGAGAAUGGAAUUCCUGGUGGAGCGGUGGAAUGCGCAGAUAUCAGGAGGAACACCAGUGGCGAAGGCGGUUCUCUGGGCCUUUCCUGACGCUGAGGAGCGAAAGCGUGGGGAGCGAACAGGCUUAGAUACCCCGGUAGUCCCA